UAAACACUUGUCUUGUGAAACUGCGAAUGGCUCAUUAUAUCAGUAUAUGAUUUCUUUGAUGGUGGCGAAAGCACAUGGCAUACCUGUGUCGAAACGUAGAGCUGAUACAUGCGCAAGACCCCGCGUGGGAGGGUAAGCAUUUAUUAGAUACCAACCAUCCCGGGCCUCGUGUCCNGUGCGGCUGACUCAUGAUAACUGUGCGAACCACACGACCCUGGUUGUCGGUGGGACAUCAUUCAGAUUUCUGCCCUAUCAGCCUUUCGAUGGCAGUGUCACUGGACUGCCAUGGCUUUCACGGGUGACGGCAGAAUUGNGGUUCGAUUCCGGAGAGGGAGCCUGAGAAAUGGCUACCACAUCCAAGGAUGGCAGCAGGCGCGUAAAUUGCCCAAUCCUGACACAGGGAGGCAGUGACAAGAAAUAACAACGCAGGGGCCUCUGGCCUUUGCGCAUGGACUGAGAACAAGUUAAAUCUCUUAUCAAAAGCCAUU
This 488-nucleotide ribosomal RNA is filed under the name uncultured eukaryote. RNAcentral's name for it is "bacterial SSU rRNA". It matches the Rfam family "Eukaryotic small subunit ribosomal RNA", at positions 66 to 549 of the family's 1831-position model. The record is from RNAcentral.